GAUGAACGCUGGCGGCGUGCCUAAUACAUGCAAGUCGAGCGAACAGACGAGGAGCUUGCUCCUCUGACGUUAGCGGCGGACGGGUGAGUAACACGUGGAUAACCUACCUAUAAGACUGGGAUAACUUCGGGAAACCGGAGCUAAUACCGGAUAAUAUAUUGAACCGCAUGGUUCAUUAGUGAAAGACGGUUUUGCUGUCACUUAUAGAUGGAUCCGCGCCGCAUUAGCUAGUUGGUAAGGUAACGGCUUACCAAGGCAACGAUGCGUAGCCGACCUGAGAGGGUGAUCGGCCACACUGGAACUGAGACACGGUCCAGCCUCCUACGGGAGGCGGCAGGAGGAAAUCUUCCGAAAUGGGCGAAAGCCUGACGGAGCAACGCCGCGUGAGUGAUGAAGGUCUUCGGAUCGUAAAACUCUGUUAUUAGGGAAGAACAAAUGUGUAAGUAACUAUGCACGUCUGGACGGUACCUAAGCAGAAGGCCACGGCUAACUACGU
This 496-nucleotide ribosomal RNA is filed under the name uncultured bacterium. RNAcentral describes it as "partial 16S ribosomal RNA". It matches the Rfam family "Bacterial small subunit ribosomal RNA", at positions 28 to 506 of the family's 1533-position model. The record is from RNAcentral.